ACCACCCAACGCUAAUUCUUGGUCUACUCUUUGUCAACGAACAGUGAAAUUGAUCGUCACGGUGCAACACACUAAUGGUUGAAAUGUGCAUUCUACUGCUGUAAAUGAAGUCCUCAGGUUAAAGAGGAAUACCAUAUCUUUCAGUAAAUCUAAUGAUGACCAUGAAGAAGAAGAAGAAGAAACUUAGUUUUAUGUAAUAGAAUACAUUAGUACACCACUGAAGAUCAAUACUUAACAUCAAGUAGCUUCAAAAACAAGGUCUUGAACUAGUUUUUACAAUUAGAACAUUUUUGCACAAAUUCAUAACAUUUUAUAUAGCUUAACUACAGAAGUGAAGAACACUUGCAUUCUAAAACAUAUACAGUCAAAUGGAGUUCAUUGUAUCUAUACAGAAUAUUUUAACACAACUAUUUAUUAUAAUAUUUUGCUUCCAGGUCAAACUUUUUUUUUUACUCUAUUGUACUAGUGUUUCAAUCCCACUCCUAAUAUAUUAGUAUCUACUAGUGUCACAAAGAUAUUUGUAAAAUCUAUGUAAUUUAUUUCAGAGGAAUUUUAAUUUGAAAUGUAAUUAACACAAUGAUCUUAAAGAAGUCUUUAAACCUGAAAUUAAGUUACUUCAAAUAAAAAUAAUGUUUUGCAUAAACCAAAAAUUAUUUUCGAGUAUUUGUGUAGUAAAGUUAUUUUUUUUUUUGGAACAACCAAGACACUUGUGAACAAGUGUCAUUCAUAGCACCCUGUUAACCCAUAGAACAUAUACGUAUCCAAUGCCACAACAAGUCAUCACAAUUACCCUAAUCCAUAUUUAUGUUUCAUUAAGAAUUAAAAACCACUUACUUUUAUUUGUAAAAACAUCACUAGAAAAAACCAACACACCCUCUGUAACAUAUUGACAAGCAGUCUAAUUUUUCAUUGAUUAAAAGGCACCUCAACAUUAAACUAAUGUUUUUAAUAUGGCUAAAACUGGAAUAAAAGUAAUAAGCAUAUUUAAGAAUGAUUUACCCAGAAUCAUAAAAAUUUGAAAAAUCUAAAUACCAAAUGAAUACUUUGAAGUUAGAGGAACAAAUUUUAUUAUUACUAUACACAAGGGUAUACACAGGUUUAUUUGUUUCAAAAAUUCAUACAAACUACACAAGGCGUAUCUGCACUAGCCAUCCCAAAUUUUGAAAUGACAGACUAGAGGGAAGGCUGCUAGUCAAUAGCAUCCACUGUAAAAUCUUAGGUCACUCUAAUAAAAUAAUGGAAUUUAACUAACUUUUAUAAUAGAUCCAAUGUCCAAAGUGUUGAGUGCAUUUUUAUGGCAAAUGACUCCAAGAUUCACAAUCUUGCACACUAACCACUGGGCCAAACUCAGACGGUAUACAUGAUAAACAUGUUUCGUAAGUAAACUAUAUCAUUUUUAGAAUAACAUUUUCUUCUUUAAUAAGGAAAAAUGUAAGAAGUAGUAACAAACAGAAAAACACACAUACACACUUAGUUCUUAAUUAAUGAUAUGUAAUCCAAAAGCAAGUAUAUUGAGUACAUUAGACAGCUACGU
Long non-coding RNA from Limulus polyphemus (Atlantic horseshoe crab), 1534 nucleotides. RefSeq lists it as uncharacterized. The transcript is spliced from 3 exons. The record is from RefSeq and is a predicted model, not a curated record. NCBI's taxonomy places the organism in Eukaryota, Metazoa, Arthropoda, Merostomata, Xiphosura, Limulidae.